This 318-nucleotide long non-coding RNA is filed under the name Capsicum annuum. RNAcentral describes it as "long non-coding RNA (CANN_LNC011047)". The record is from RNAcentral. Lineage: Eukaryota; Viridiplantae; Streptophyta; Magnoliopsida; Solanales; Solanaceae.
CAGUUUCUGUAAAAAGAUCACUACCUUUCUCAGAUACAGAUGGUACAGUGGUGAUGACUACUCAAACCGAGGUGAAACCAGUGGAGUAUGGUGCCAAAGAGUCCAACUUAGCUCCAGAAUGUAACACAGAGCCCUUGCUAAAGUCCAUUGUUGAACCCAAAGCUUCCAAAUCUAAAAUGCACCUGUGUGCAUAUUUAAACCACAUACAUAUAUAUAAACACCUAAACUCAACCUUGUGUUUUCUCUAAUAAGCACCAAAUUAAUCAUGAAGCUUUUUUGAUAGUAUUAAUACAGAUAUCUUUAAAUAACAAACAUUUU